Molecule: long non-coding RNA, 729 nt
Organism: Eupeodes corollae
Lineage: Eukaryota; Metazoa; Arthropoda; Insecta; Diptera; Syrphidae
Exons: 2
Source: RefSeq, a predicted model, not a curated record
AUCGCCGCCUCACAAAUUCCAAUAGAAAAAGGGUCAUCAACCUGGAGGCACAGAGUGUUGUAGUUGGUACCAACUAAGAAAAAAGGGUUCCUCGCUCUACGCCUUGCCUGAUAUUGUGGACGAGAAUACGGAGAGAAUUCGUUAGAAAACCAGAAUAACAUAAGUCCAUAACCAGGAGGACAAACACAAAUUCCAUCCGCGGAAGGUACCUACCUUUGUACAUAUUUGAAAUGAAGCAAGAUCGGACCUCAUGGACCUCAAAAAAAGGAAAACUCUAUCUCUCUACUUACAUAUGUAGUUAAACUUAAACUAUACAAAACACUCACCUUCAUCCAGCAAACGUUCCACGUGAUUGAAAACGUUCGGAAAAGCUGCCAAUUGUUUCCUGUCCUUAAGUAAUUGAGCCAGAUAGUCGGCUAUGCUCUGUGUGUUUUGUUGUUGUGUGUUAUUAUUUUCGCAGACACUCAUUUUGCCGUUUUAUUAUUUUUAUUUUUCUUCUCCUCUUUUUUUCAAAUCAAAAAAUAAUGAAUAAAUAUACAGUUAUAGCAAUGAUAAUUUAUAAUUUAUACGAGUAGUAGUAAAAACUUCCUUAAACUUUUAUAAUUUAAUUUUUAUUUGAUUAUAGAAAAUAAAAUAACUGCAACUCAAAACAGGUACUUUUUUCGUAUCAAAAGGGAUGCCACUUCAAUUUUCUUCUUUUUUUCUUUCUUUAUUUUAUUUUUAAUUUGA